ACAGCAGACUGACAUAUGCUGUUUUGAGCUGGUUGAAGACCUGACGCGCUGCUGUGUUCUGGAUCAACUGCAGAAGUUUGAACGUGCAUGCGGGGAGACCUGCCAGUGAGGAGUUGCAGUAGUCAAUGCUUGAUAUUAUGAGACCCUGUAACAGGAGUUGUGCUGCAUGCUCAGACAGACAUUCAGCUGGGUCCAGGUACAAGUUCCAGUCAUGGACAGUUAGAGAUCCUCAUCUCAGCUCUGCACUUUGGUCUUGCUGUCAUGUUCCACACACAAAGUGCUUUUAGUGUCCUCACACUGAUUCAUAGCAGAGAAACACCUUCACACAAACACAACAGCCUGCUGGCAGAGCAGGUGUGAGCAGAACGUGCACUAAUGCAUCAAGUCAUUGUCAGCAACCAUACCAACAUGUACCCUGUUUCUGUUGAAUGACUGAAGCUAAGCAGGUGUGGGAUUGGUUAUUACUUGGAUGGGACACCUCCUGGGAAGGACUGAGUUGCUGCUGGAAGUGGUGGUGGGCCAGUAGGGGGCAGUCUCCCUUCCAGUCCUAAUAAAUCCCAAAUUCCCCAGUGCAGUGACGGAGACACUGUGCUGUUGGAGAUGUCAUCCUUCAGAUGAGACAUUAAACCGAGGGCCUGACUCACUGUGGUCAUUAAAGAUCCCAUGGCACUUAUUGCAAAGACUAGGGGGUUCCCUGCUGUGCUGGCAAAAAUCCCCAACCUGGCUCUCUCCAUCUGGCCACCUAAUCAUCCCCCAGUGUAACUGGCUCAAUGAUUCCCCCCCUCUCCACCUCAAGCUGAUGUGUGGUGAGAAUUCUGGUGCGAAAUGGCUGCCAUGCAUCACUCAAGUGGGUGCUACACAUUGGUGUUGGCUGAGGUGAGUUUCCCCCCUUCACUGAGAAAUGUUU
This is a long non-coding RNA of Thunnus maccoyii (southern bluefin tuna), 907 nucleotides long. RefSeq lists it as uncharacterized. The record is from RefSeq and is a predicted model, not a curated record. NCBI's taxonomy places the organism in Eukaryota, Metazoa, Chordata, Actinopteri, Scombriformes, Scombridae. The transcript is spliced from 2 exons.